GACGAACGCUGGCGGCGUGCUUAACACAUGCAAGUCGAACGGAAAGGCCCUGCUUUUGUGGGGUGCUCGAGUGGCGAACGGGUGAGUAACACGUGAGUAACCUGCCCUUGACUUUGGGAUAACUUCAGGAAACUGGGGCUAAUACCGUAUAGGAGCUCCUGCUGCAUGGUGGGGGUUGGAAAUUUUCGGCGGGUGGGGAUGGACUCGCGGCUUAUGAGCUUGUUGGUGGGGUAGUUGCUUACCAAGGCUUUGACGGGUAGCCGGCCUGAGAGGGUGACCGGCCACAUUGGGCCUGAGAUACGGCCCAGACUGCUACGGGAGGCAGCAGUGGGGAAUAUUGCACAAUGGGCGGAAGCCUGAUGCAGAAACGCUGCGUGCGGGAUGACGGCCUUCGGGUUGUAAACAGCUUUCGCCUGUGACGAAGCGUGAGUGACGGUAAUGGGUAAAGAAGCACCGGCUAACUACGUG
Molecule: ribosomal RNA, 468 nt
Filed under: uncultured bacterium
Lineage: Bacteria
Description: partial 16S ribosomal RNA
Rfam family: Bacterial small subunit ribosomal RNA
Source: RNAcentral